This is a long non-coding RNA of Tympanuchus pallidicinctus (lesser prairie-chicken), 728 nucleotides long. RefSeq lists it as uncharacterized. Lineage: Eukaryota; Metazoa; Chordata; Aves; Galliformes; Phasianidae. The record is from RefSeq and is a predicted model, not a curated record. The transcript has 5 exons.
AUGAAGGUUGGAGAAGACCUCCAAGGUCAUCCAGUUCAACUCCAACCCCAACCCACCCCACCAUGACCUAAAAUGGAACCACUGUGUCAUCAAGCUUGGAAGAGAUCUCCAGGAUCCCCAAGUUCAACCCCAACCAACCCCACCAUGACCCUAAAUGGAUCCAUAGGGUCAUGAAGGUUGGAGAAGGCCUCCAAGGUCAUCCAGUUCAACUCCAACCCCAACCCAUCCCACCAUGACCCUAAAUGGAUCCAUAGGGUCAUGAAGGUUGGAGAAGGCCUCCAAGGUCAUCCAGUUCAACUCCAACCCCAACCCAUCCCACCAUGACCCUAAAUGGAUCCAUAGGGUCAUGAAGGUUGGAGAAGACCUCCAAGGUCAUCCAGUUCAACUCCAACCCCAACCCACCCCACCAUGACCUAAAAUGGAACCACUGUGUCAUCAAGCUUGGAAGAGAUCUCCAGGAUCCCCAAGUUCAACCCCAACCCACCCCACCAUGACCCUAAAUGGAUCCAUAGGGUCAUGAAGGUUGGAGAAGGCCUCCAAGGUCAUGCAGUUCAACUCCAACCCCAACCCACCCCACCAUGACCCUAAAUGGAUCCAUAGGGUCAUGAAGGUUGGAGAAGGCCUCCAAGGUCAUCCAGUCCAUCCCCAGCACACACCCCCAUCACAAUAACAGACCCACAGAGUCAUCAAGGUUGGACAAGACCUCCAAGAUCCCCGAGUCCGGAGGU